AACGAACGCUGGCGGCGUGCCUAACACAUGCAAGUCGUGCGAGAAAGUUCCUUCGGGAGCGAGUAAAGCGGCGCACGGGUGAGUAACACGUAGGUAACCUGCCCCCCAGUCUGGAACAACUAGAGGAAACUCUAGCUAAUGCCGGAUGAGACCACGAUCCCUUCGGGGGGUUGCGGCCAAAGAUGGCCUCUACUUGUAAGCUAUCGCUGAGGGAUGGGCCUGCGGGCCAUUAGCUUGUUGGUGAGGUAACGGCUCACCAAGGCUGUGAUGGCUAGCUGGUCUGAGAGGAUGACCAGCCACACUGGGACUGAGACACGCCCAGACUCUACGGAGGCAGCAGUGGGAAUAUU
RNAcentral lists this ribosomal RNA (350 nucleotides) under uncultured bacterium. RNAcentral's name for it is "bacterial SSU rRNA". It matches the Rfam family "Bacterial small subunit ribosomal RNA", at positions 29 to 365 of the family's 1533-position model. The record is from RNAcentral.